UAUAUUGUUAUCUAUUAUACAGAAGAUCAAAAUGUGGACAUCUUUACAAAAGGUUUAUCAAUUGAAAAAUUCAACAAGUUUUAAACAUUGAUGAUUUGGGGUCACGGUCUUAAGCUAAGUUUUAUUUUUCUUUAUUUUUAUGUUUAUAUUGUUUGUUAAUGUUUUGUUGAAUAGAAUUGAAUAAUGUUUAUGUGAACAUUUAUUAAAGUAAAUUUAUUCUGUUUGUUGUAUGAUGGACAAAUUAGCACAAGAGUAUGUAAAGGAUUUAAAAAAGAAUCUUGAGGCUAAUCUAAGCUUGAGAGAAAAGUAGUAGACCUAAAGGUAGAGUUUUCCCAGAACAACCAGCCUUUGGGUUUUUUACCCUCCUUUUGCUUUUCUACCCAUAGCAUUGUGUACUUUGGACUACAGAACAACCAGAAUGGAUUACGAAAUCAAAGUCAAUCUUUCAUAAGAAUCUAUAUACAACUUGUUUUUGAGUGGAAGUAUGAGAUAUAAUAAUAAAUAUUUAUAGGUAGUUGUGCAUGUGGAUAUUAGUUAUAGUUAGUGAUGGUUAGUUACUAAUUAUUAGUUAGUUGUUAAACUAAUAUGAUGUAUAAAUACCAAGUGUGGUUUUUAGUUCAUUCGAUAGUCUCAUUUAACGUUGUUAACUGAGCCUAUUGAACCGAAUACCUAACUGAAUAGUUCGUUGAAUACCGAACUUUUUUUACAUUAUAUUAAAAAUAAACAUUAAAAAAAAUAAACAUGUCCAUCUUUGAAAAAUAAACAUGUCCAUCUUUGAAAAAUAAACAAUAAAAAACAUUGUUUAUAAUAUAUUUUCUUUUGUUAAGUCCAUCUUUAGUCAUCUUUUUUUCUUGUUGAUUAAGAACAAGCAUGUUAUCAUCCUAAAGCCACGACAAAAACUAAAACCUUAGAAACUAAAAAAUUAAUAUCUACUAUAUUAAUGAAAAAUUACAAAAAUAUACAUAAGUUAUGAAAUAUAUAAUAUAAAUUUAUAAUAAAAAGUUAUAUAAUAUAAGUUUAUAAUAUAAAUAUAAAAUAAUAAAAUAUAACAAAAAUUUAAACGAACCGAACCAUUCUUCGAACUUCAACCAAAGUUUGGUUUCGAUUCGUUUAAUUAAACGAAUCUAUUUUAAGGUUCGGGAUUGAUUCGUUUAAUAACCGAAUCGAAUCGAAUCGAACCGAACCCGAAACGAACAGAAUAGUUCGUCCGAACUUUUAUUUCAACUCUACUCUCAUUAGAUCUACAACAAUAUGAUGUUUUAAUUGCUCUUAAAUUUACUUCAUGUGGCGUGAAUUGUGUUUUCGACAUGAACCAAGCAAGAAAUGUUUCCAACAAAACUUCUGCCAGUUCGUUGACCGAAUUUGUUCAAAAAAUGCAGCAGAUUCUGAUCCAAUCGGAUGUUCCCACUCCUGCUAAGCAAUCUAAUUUUGAAGGAAGAUUACCGACUUUUGAAUAGAGGAAGAGAUUAUGUACCGCAAACUCCUUCAUAAGUCGGUAACCUUCCUCCAAAAUUAGAUUGCUUGUAUAAGUUGACCAAUUGUCCUAUUACAACCCUAAAUAACUUCAAGAGUAAUCGAAACAUCAUAUUGGUAAAGAUCUUUCUUCGUAACUUCUGCCACGAAAUGAUUACCCGUUACCAUACAUUUCAUACCGGUAUCGCCUUUGCCAUAAGAGAGGACGAUGCAUUAUGUUUAACAGGAGUGGGAACUUCCGAUUGGAUCAAAAUCUGUUGCAUUUUUAAACUAAUUCAGUCCACGAAAUGUCAGAAGUUUUGUUGGAAACAUUUCUUGCUUGGUUCACGCCAAAAGCAAAGGCAGAAUGGACAGUAACUUGUAUUUCCUCGGUGUCCACUUGAAACUACAACUCUAUCCCUAUUCCGCACGUGGUGAUGUUGAGGAGUCAUACUUACUUAAACUUCUUUCACUAAUAAAAUUAAACGAAGACCUUGAACUUGAUACUUCUGCAUUCCCAAUCUGGAUAUUUUAUUUACCUGGCAUUCUGGCUUUCCAUUUGAAUCGGUAGUCUUUGGAUGAUUUCUCACAUUUUCAAGAUNNN
Molecule: long non-coding RNA, 2056 nt
Filed under: Zostera marina
Lineage: Eukaryota; Viridiplantae; Streptophyta; Magnoliopsida; Alismatales; Zosteraceae
Description: long non-coding RNA (ZMAR_LNC005257)
Source: RNAcentral